RNAcentral lists this long non-coding RNA (217 nucleotides) under Brassica napus (rape). Its description in RNAcentral is "long non-coding RNA (BNAP_LNC025039)". Lineage: Eukaryota; Viridiplantae; Streptophyta; Magnoliopsida; Brassicales; Brassicaceae. The record is from RNAcentral.
UUUUGGCUGUAGAUACAUGGCGUCUGAUAAUUGCUCGUGGUUGAAGACUUUGACGACUUGGCUGGUGGUGCUUCCACUUCCGAUAUCGUAGUCGACGGUUCACUUUGAACGGGAUCCUGUUUCCGGUGUGUUUCCGGUGGGUCAGCCGAUUAGUGUUCCGUCGGUCACGCUUUGGCGGGAGUUGUGCGGUGGUGAUUCAGUUUCUAGGCACGUGUCC